RNAcentral lists this ribosomal RNA (492 nucleotides) under uncultured bacterium. RNAcentral describes it as "partial 16S ribosomal RNA". It matches the Rfam family "Bacterial small subunit ribosomal RNA", at positions 29 to 507 of the family's 1533-position model. The record is from RNAcentral.
AGUGAACGCUGGCGGUAGGCCUAACACAUGCAAGUCGAACGGCAGCACAGUAAGAGCUUGCUCUUACGGGUGGCGAGUCGCGGACGGGUGAGGAAUACAUCGUAAUCUACUUUUUCGUGGGGGAUAACGUAGGGAAACUUACGCUAAUACCGCAUACGACCUACGGGUGAAAGCAGGGGAUCUUCGGACCUUGCGCGAUUGAAUGAGCCGCUGUCGGAUUAGCUAGUUGGCGGGGUAACGGCCCACCAAGGCGACGAUCCGUAGCUGGUCUGAGAGGAUGAUCAGCCGCACUGGAACUGAGACACGGUCCAGACUCCUACGGGAGGCAGCAGUGGGGAAUGUUGGACAAUGGGCGCAAGCCUGAUCCAGCCAUACCGCGUGGGUGAAGAAGGCCUUCGGGUUGUAAAGCCCUUUUGUUGGGAGAGAAAAGCAGCAGGUUAAUACCCCGCUGUUCUGACGGUACCCAAAGAAUAAGCACCGGCUAACUUCGUG